Molecule: RNase P RNA, 321 nt
Filed under: bovine gut metagenome
Description: Bacterial RNase P class A
Rfam family: Bacterial RNase P class A
About the family: Ribonuclease P (RNase P) is a ubiquitous endoribonuclease, found in archaea, bacteria and eukarya as well as chloroplasts and mitochondria. Its best characterised activity is the generation of mature 5'-ends of tRNAs by cleaving the 5'-leader elements of precursor-tRNAs.
Source: RNAcentral
CGCUUGACCGCGCCCGGAAGGGUGAGGAAAGUCCGAGCUCCGCAGGGCAGGAUGCCUGAUAACGUCAGGCGGGGGUGACCCCAGGGAAAGUGCAACAGAAAGGAAACCGCCGGCUCAGGCCGGUAAGGAUGAAAGGGCGAGGUAAGAGCUCACCGGCGGGCAGGCAACUGUCCGGCUGUGUAAACCCCAUCCGGAGCAAGACUAAGAAAGGGCAUGUAUCGGCGGCCCGUCGAGCCCGUGGUAAGUCGCUUGAUGCUGCCGGCGACGGCACGCACAGAUAGAUGGUCAUUAAAACAGAACUCGGCUUAUGAGCUUGCUUAU